This 2322-nucleotide unclassified non-coding RNA is filed under the name Harpegnathos saltator (Jerdon's jumping ant). RNAcentral's name for it is "uncharacterized LOC112588104, transcript variant X1". Lineage: Eukaryota; Metazoa; Arthropoda; Insecta; Hymenoptera; Formicidae. The record is from RNAcentral.
AAGCAUCGUGUGCCGCUGGCUUUAACGUGAGUUGUGGUUGACACAUGAAGAGCUUGUUGAAGAGGAACAUUGAAAAACAUGCCAGGGUGUUGCGUGGAUGGAUGUACAAAUCGUAGCGAAAAAGGUUUUCGCUUAUUUCGUUUACCGACAGGUACUAGGAAUAACGAUAGACGCAAUGAAUGGUUGCAAUUAAUUGGCAAAGACACAUUGCCAGCAAGAGCUGUAAUUUGUGAGUUUUUAAUAUAGAAGAAAAUCAUACAACAAGCACUGCAACAAACUGUCCUGAAGUAGCCAAUACAGAAGUGGCCCAUAUAAAAGUUUUCCAUACUGCAUCAAAUAAGGACAAAGAGCACAUAAAACAUUUACAGAUAGCAUUGAGGAAGAAAAUGCGAGAAUGCAGUCUGCUUAAAUGUAAAUUAAAAGAGAAAAAAAAACGAGAAUGUUUUGCAAAAAUCUUUACAAAAAAUCAAACACAUUAUAUUGAAAAUAACACGCAAAGAGGAUCAUUGUUGUCAAUUGUGGUCUGCCAAGACUAUUAAUAAUGCCUUAAAAUUGUAUGUGGCCUGUGGACAAAAAAGUUAUGAAGAAUUACGCCGUCAAAACUUACCUUAUCCGAGUAUUCGGACCUUGCAACAUCGUAUACAAGGCUUACAAUUUAAACCGGGAAUAUUAGAAGAUAUUUUCCGUAUGUUAUAAAUGAAAGUACAAACAUUUGCUGAUGCAGAGAAACAUGCUGUAUUGAUUAUAGACGAAAUGUCUAUAAAGCCUGGCUUACAAUAUGACAAUUCCAUUGUUGCAGUAGUUGGUCGACCCACUAUGAAACUUUCGGGUGGAUUUGACAGCUCUCAUCAAAAAGCAACGCAUGCCCUUGUGUUUAUGUUGUACGGCAUUUCUACUAAAUGGAAGCAGACAAUAGGGUACGAAUUUACAGGUAAUUCGUUUUGCUCACAACAGAUUGUUCAAAUAAUGUUAGCGAUAAUUCAAAAAGCGAAUGAUAUCGGACUGAAAAUAAAAGUAAUAAUUUCUGAUAUGGGAGCUCAGAAUAGGAGUUGAUGGAAAAUCAUGAAUAUUACGGUUGGCAAAUAUUGUAAAAUCAAUAAUUAUAUUCCACAUCCAUGCGAUAAUGACGAGAAAUUAUUUGUUAUGCCCGAUUCAGUUCAUGUGUUCAAAAACGUCGCGUGUUCGUUAACAGCGGGCAACAAAUUUUAUUUGGACGAAACGCUUGUUAGAAAAUAUGACUUGCCGCACAAUGAAAUAUCGAUUGCACCCAUUCGCGAAGUAUAUAACUUAGACAAAAACGAUACAUUACGACUGUGUCCAUGUCUGACAGAACGCGCUAUUAAUCCAUCACAUUUUGAGAAAAUGCAUGUUAAUUUAAGUAUGCAAAUAUUAAAUAAUACAAUUGCUGCCGCUAUAUCAUAUCAUGUAGCCAACGGGCGUAUUGCUGAAAUUCAUGAAACCACCGCCUGGUUUAUCAAAACUAUACAUAAAUGGUUCAAACUUAUGACCAGCAGGUAUCAGAAGCUCGCAUUGUCCCGUCAUAAUGAAAAUAUUUACAGAGAUACUAUCACAUUCCUACAAGAUUUUAUAGUUAUUAUUAAAGGAAUUGUAGUUGGAGAUGGAAAAUGGAAACCAUUUCAAAGUGGCUUAAUACUUUGCACACAAACCACAUUAGAUUUGCAAAUAGAAUAUUUAGAAAAACAAAAUUAAAAAUUUUUGUUAUUAGGUAGAUUUACACAAGAUGCUUUAGAAAAUCUAUUUUCCGUUAUCUGAGGAAGAAAAUCAGUACCAGAUGCGCGCGAAUUUAAAUACGUUUUAAGACUUGUUUGUUUAUCACAAUUUCAAAGUAAUGUUAAUCGCUCUAAUUACUCGACUGUUGACUGUGAUUAUGUCAUUAAAUAUUGUGACGAAAUAAAAAAUCAAGACUUAAAAAAUACUUCUGAAGAAGUGCAAUGCGAGCAAGCUAUUGAAAAUGAUUUAUGGGAUGAGACAAUGUUAGAAUUACUUGGAGAUGAGACCGAGUUAAGUGAUAUAACGCAAACAUCAUUGUAUCAUUUAACAGGGGCGUUAUUAUCAAAGAUUAAAAAAUACUUCAAACAUUGUGAUCAUUGUUAUAAUCCUUUAGUAAUGGAUUGCAAGAGCGAUUCAAAUAAUAAUUUAAGCAUUUUUACUCAAUUGCGGCAAUAUAAGGAAAAUAUAUUAACUUUUCCAGGCAGCAAAAUGUAUGAUAUUAUACAUAAAUGCGAAUUAUUAUAUAGAAAAAACGAAGCGAACCUAUUGUCCAACAAAUUACAACCAAUAAACUUUGUAAAUUUAUUUUUA